AACGUAUGCAUCAAACUGUAUGCGUAGAUGGCUUGGCAGAAAUGGUAGCAGAAUGAAUGUUGAACUUUUGUUGCAGACAUAACCAGAUGAUGCUGCGUACCAUUUCGGAAUUUUGCAACUGUAGUUGCGACCCACUGGGCAAAAACUGGUUGAAUCAAUGUUGUUUCCGUGUAAUUUCAACCCCAAAAAUCUAUUUGAUGACGUUGAAUCAACAUGGAAAACUACUUGGAUUUGCAAAAACUCCCCAAGCAGCCCAUCCACCACAUGACAGGAAGUGACUGUUUUCUGUUGGGAAAGCUGGAAUGUAAGAAAGAAAAAGAAAACUCCAACUUGAACAGCACAUACCAGGACAACUGGUAGAAAAAGGCUAUAUCCAGUUACAACAGGGAUGCUGCUGAACAGUGAUCUUCAAGGAGAGACAAUUACUAUAUUAAGGUAA
This is a long non-coding RNA of Oncorhynchus tshawytscha (Chinook salmon), 439 nucleotides long. Lineage: Eukaryota; Metazoa; Chordata; Actinopteri; Salmoniformes; Salmonidae. The record is from Ensembl.